This 797-nucleotide ribosomal RNA is filed under the name uncultured bacterium. Its description in RNAcentral is "bacterial SSU rRNA". It matches the Rfam family "Bacterial small subunit ribosomal RNA", at positions 70 to 875 of the family's 1533-position model. The record is from RNAcentral.
GUCCAUCCAGUGGUAACACUGGUGAAGACCUAGCGGCGAACGGGUGAGUAACACGUGAGAAACCUGCCCCGAAGACUGGGAUAACUCUCCGAAAGGAGAGCUAAUACCAGAUGCCCUCACCGGGCCGCAUGACUUGGUGAGGAAAUGGAUUCCGCUUCGGGAGGGUCUCGCGGCCUAUCAGCUUGUUGGUGAGGUAACGGCUCACCAAGGCUUCGACGGGUAGCUGGUCUGAGAGGAUGAUCAGCCACACUGGGACUGAGACACGGCCCAGACUCCUACGGGAGGCAGCAGUGGGGAAUCUUGCGCAAUGGGCGAAAGCCUGACGCAGCAACGCCGCGUGGGGGAUGAAGGCUCUCGGGUUGUAAACCCCUUUCAGCAGGGAAGAUUAUGACGGUACCUGCAGAAGAAGCCCCGGCCAACUACGUGCCAGCAGCCGCGGUAAUACGUAGGGGGCAAGCGUUGUCCGGAUUUAUUGGGCGUAAAGAGCUUGUAGGCGGCUUGGUAAGUCGAGUGUGAAAACUCCAGGCUCAACCUGGAGACGCCAUUCGAUACUGCCAUGGCUAGAGUCCGGUAGAGGAGCACGGAAUUCCUGGUGUAGCGGUGAAAUGCGCAGAUAUCAGGAGGAACACCAGCAGCGAAGGCGGUGCUCUGGGCCGGUACUGACGCUGAGAAGCGAAAGCGUGGGGAGCGAACAGGAUUAGAUACCCUGGUAGUCCACGCCGUAAACGUUGGGCACUAGGUGUGGGUCCCUAUCGACGGGAUCUGUGCCGUAGCUAACGCAUUAAGUGCCCCGCCUG